UGACGGCCAUAUCACAUUGAAACACCAGCUCUCUUACGAUUAACGAAGUUAAGCAACCUUAAGCCUAGUCAUUACUUAGAUGGGUGCCCACUUGGGAAUACCAGGUGCUGUAA
This is a non-coding RNA of Acanthosepion pharaonis, 113 nucleotides long. NCBI's taxonomy places the organism in Eukaryota, Metazoa, Mollusca, Cephalopoda, Sepiida, Sepiidae. The record is from the annotation of a GenBank genome assembly.